CCGGAAAAGGGGCACACCCCCCACCCUUGUGUAUUAUUACUUUGUUGCUUUGGCGAGCUGCCUUCGGGCCUUGUAUGCUCGCCAGAGAAUACCAAAACUCUUUUUAUUAAUGUCGUCUGAGUACUAUAUAAUAGUUAAAACUUUCAACAACGGAUCUCUUGGUUCUGGCAUCGAUGAAAAACGCAGCGAAAUGCGAUAAGUAAUGUGAAUUGCAGAAUUCAGUGAAUCAUCGAAUCUUUGAACGCACAUUGCGCCCCUUGGUAUUCCGGGGGGCAUGCCUGUUCGAGCGUCAUUUCAACCCUCAAGCUUAGCUUGGUAUUGAGUCUAUGUCAGUAAUGGCAGGCUCUAAAAUCAGUGGCGGCGCCGCUGGGUCCUGAACGUAGUAAUAUCUCUCGUUACAGGUUCUCGGUGUGCUUCUGCCAAAACCCAAAUUUUUCUAUGGUUGACCUCGGAUCAGGUAGGGAUACCCGCUGAACUUAAGCAUAUCAUAACCGGGAAGAAAGAU
Molecule: ribosomal RNA, 505 nt
Filed under: Botrytis cinerea
Lineage: Eukaryota; Fungi; Ascomycota; Leotiomycetes; Helotiales; Sclerotiniaceae
Description: eukaryotic LSU rRNA
Rfam family: 5.8S ribosomal RNA (bases 139-292)
Source: RNAcentral